GUGUAUGAGGUAAAUCUCCGGGCCACGCAAUUUGGUAAAUUCCACAGAGAAAAUGCGGGGAGAGAUUAUUCUGAUUCACAUGGGAAUUGUGUCAUUUAAUCGAGAAUUGCUGUGUAUGGCAAACUGCUGUGCUUGGGUUUUGUCUUGUUGAUGAAGACUUUGAUAGCGCCAUUGAAAUCUGCACUGACAAGCACAUAGCCACAACCCUUCUUAUGCUGCUCCACCAGCGGAUCAGGAACAGUCGGCUGGGCCUGGAAAAGCAUCAAAAACAGAAACAUUGAAACGUCUUUUUUUAAAGAAUAUAGAAUUACAAUUGUUGACAUGAAAACCUUAAAAAUAAAUCUUAAAAAUGACUCAACUCCAA
Phlebotomus papatasi is the source of this 364-nucleotide long non-coding RNA. RefSeq lists it as uncharacterized. NCBI's taxonomy places the organism in Eukaryota, Metazoa, Arthropoda, Insecta, Diptera, Psychodidae. The transcript is spliced from 2 exons. The record is from RefSeq and is a predicted model, not a curated record.